Molecule: long non-coding RNA, 676 nt
Filed under: Homo sapiens (human)
Lineage: Eukaryota; Metazoa; Chordata; Mammalia; Primates; Hominidae
Description: non-protein coding lnc-LRRC1-7:1
Source: RNAcentral
GGAGAAUGGAAAUAGAACUUGCAGUUUUGGUUCUCUGCAAUGCAGGUUGGCCACUGCUAUUGCUGUAACUCUGUCCUAUUGUCCUACCCAUACUACUGUUGUAACUUCCAUAAGGUGGGACCUGAUGAAUCACGCACACUUCCAGAGUGUUUGGUCAGGGUGACCCUGGGUGCAGCAAGGAUGGCCAAUGCUGUUGGCAUCAAAAGGCCAAGAGAUGACUUUGGUCAGAUUAGAUAAAGACCAUUUAGGGCCAUGGAGAUAUGGAAGCAAUUUUCUUCUUUCCUAGAAGAUGAUGCAAUAGAUGACAAUAAGCAUUUGGGUGAAUCUCUCCAGCCAGGUUUGAAGGCAGUUUGUGUCACGUAGUGGGUGGGUGGAUGGGGAAAGUUAGUUCUAAUUACUAUUCCAGGGCCCUACAUCCAGAACCUUUCCAUUUUAAGACAAGAGGGGGACUAACAUUCCCAGCUCAUUCGCAAAUGACUCAAGAGAAUGGGACAGAGGAAAGGGAGAUACCAUUUUUAAUUCCCCCUGGAGGAGUCCUAAUGUCCCAUUAGUGUUUCAACUGUUUGGUCUAAUUCAGGUAUGAAGUACAGUGGUUUGUUUGUUUGUUUGUUUGUUUUUCUAAAAAGAGUAGAGUGCUCUCUCUAGCAUUCAGACACUAGCAGAGCACGGCACAGAU